This 743-nucleotide ribosomal RNA is filed under the name Salmonella enterica. RNAcentral describes it as "partial 23S ribosomal RNA". The stretch from base 89 to 743 matches the Rfam family "Bacterial large subunit ribosomal RNA", at positions 567 to 1223 of the family's 2925-position model. The record is from RNAcentral. Lineage: Bacteria; Pseudomonadati; Pseudomonadota; Gammaproteobacteria; Enterobacterales; Enterobacteriaceae.
AAAGCGUUUCGCUUUGCGUGGUGCGCAAAAUGCGUAACGACAGCACGAUUGCGGUUAACGGAGCGUAAGCGACGUUCAACACAAAAAUCAGGCAGUGGAGCGUUUUGGGGUGGGGUGACUGCGUACCUUUUGUAUAAUGGGUCAGCGACUUAUAUUCUGUAGCAAGGUUAACCGCAUAGGGGAGCCGGAGGGAAACCGAGUCUUAAUUGGGCGUUAAGUUGCAGGGUAUAGACCCGAAACCCGGUGAUCUAGCCAUGGGCAGGUUGAAGGUUGGGUAACACUAACUGGAGGACCGAACCGACUAAUGUUGAAAAAUUAGCGGAUGACCUGUGGCUGGGGGUGAAAGGCCAAUCAAACCGGGAGAUAGCUGGUUCUCCCCGAAAGCUAUUUAGGUAGCGCCUCGUGAAUUCAUCUCCGGGGGUAGAGCACUGUUUCGGCCAGGGGGCCAUCCCGGCUUACCAAUCCGAUGCAAACUGCGAAUACCGGAGAAUGUUAUCACGGGAGACACACGGCGGGUGCUAACGUCCGUCGUGAAGAGGGAAACAACCCAGACCGCCAGCUAAGGUCCCAAAGUCAUGGUUAAGUGGGAAACGAUGUGGGAAGGCCCAGACAGCCAGGAUGUUGGCUUAGAAGCAGCCAUCAUUUAAAGAAAGCGUAAUAGCUCACUGGUCGAGUCGGCCUGCGCGGAAGAUGUAACGGGGCUAAACCAUGCACCGAAGCUGCGGCAGCGAACGUAUCACCCA